RNAcentral lists this unclassified non-coding RNA (161 nucleotides) under uncultured Auriculariales. RNAcentral's name for it is "sequence contains ITS1". The record is from RNAcentral. Lineage: Eukaryota; Fungi; Basidiomycota; Agaricomycetes; Auriculariales.
AAGAUUCUUGACCUUUGGGUCGAACUCUUCAGCUGUGCGCUUUGGCUGCACGCUGAUAAAAAUUCACACACCUGUGCACAUUUCGGUCGCACCCUGCAUGCAGGUUUGCUUCCGCUUUAACAUACAACCACACGUCUUGAAUGUAACAAACUAUAAAGUAA